This is a non-coding RNA of Chloroflexi bacterium RBG_16_48_8, 173 nucleotides long. The record is from Rfam. NCBI's taxonomy places the organism in Bacteria, Bacillati, Chloroflexota.
GGUGGUGUGAACCAACGUGGAAAGGAAGCCGGAAAGCAAAACCUGGACUGGAAGGACGAGAACUGCGUAAGGAGUCGUGGAGCGCCGGAUGAGCUGGCAACGGACAGCAAAGUCCCAAAAGGAUCCAAGCGGCACUACGUAAACGCAGCCAGGGUCAGGGGAAAGCUAUCGUA